This is a regulatory RNA element of Deinococcus peraridilitoris DSM 19664, 85 nucleotides long. It matches the Rfam family "c-di-GMP-II-GAG riboswitch aptamer". The record is from Rfam. NCBI's taxonomy places the organism in Bacteria, Thermotogati, Deinococcota, Deinococci, Deinococcales, Deinococcaceae.
AACAUAACGGGAAGCGAUGAAGCCUGCUCAGCAUACGGUCACCAAUGCGCAGGGGGAGCCAAUGGUGAGACCGGCCCGCGAGGAG